GUGCUGUAUGUCCUGGUUCCCUUUAAUAGCAUUAGGCGUUCAGACCAUAAAGACUAAUCUGGAGAGUAGAAGUUCCUGCUCUCUGCUUUGAUCUCUUUCCUCUUGGCUGUUUAAAGCUGACAGUUUGGCUGAAUGGCAUUCGCCGCUUUCAUUUGUAAGACACGAGUUUCCUAGUGUUCCAGAGCUAGCAGCUACACCUGUACCGCAGGAAUUUACAUCGCAUUGCUCCAGGAUGGCAUUGAUUUGGGACGGGCGAAAUACAAACACAAACUAAUUAAAACCUGCAUAAUGCGGCCCUACAGGAACAAGACAGAAAAACAAAUAAAUACAACUGCAGCUGGCACAGCAAUUGUGCCUCUGCCCCCGAGCAACAGUCUGGUGACAUCAAAUUACAAACCUUAAAAAUCUCCCGUAAUUGCAGUUGAUCAUUUCGAAGACAAAAUGGAAAUCGUGUUGUUAAUUAAGUUCGGGUCCGUAAAAUAUUCAUAGAUAGGUGGGCAGACGGACGGACAGACAGACACCGAGAGGUGGAUGACUCAUCCUAUAGGUUUGUCGGCUUGUUUAUACAGGCCCGUGUGCAGAGCUCGAACAAUUCAUAUGCAAAAGCGCUAAGGAAGAGCUCCGCGUUCCCUUUGCUAUCAGAAAUAAAUACGAGUUGCAACCGAUAGAGGAUUAAUCAAAACACACUGCUGAGAUACUGGGGGGAGGAGGAGGGGAGGGAAAGAACAAAUUUUCUUAGUUUGCUAAAAUAUAUAGAUAGAAAGAGAAAUGCCCGUAAUAUUUGUAAUGCCCUCUUUGUCUGAAUAACACCGUCUUUGUAAACGCCUUAUCAGCUGUUACCCCGACUGCAGUCAAACGUUUCGGACUUCGAUCCCUCCCUGCACUACUCAUACCUACGUGCUUCCAUUUAGGGAAUCCACCAGGUAUGCAACUUUGUGCUUGUCUGAACAAACCAAACCAUUCGUUUGCACGGUCAGAGGGCUGGAGGCUGCUGAUGCUAUUCCCUCCUGCGCGUUCUUUCCACGGGAAAGAAAAUUGAAACUGUCCAAUAACUGAAGCGAUCGUCUGAAAUCUCUUCUUCUGCCACCGGUGCGAACUCAAAAUCAAGAGAGGAUUUGCAGGAGAACUCGUUGCCAGGAUGUUUCAAAGAAGAAUUAAAGGAAAACUUUUUUCUUCUCCAGUCCUAAACCAGGCGCUGUAGUGCUUAAGCUUCUCUUUCUUUUUGGGUCGAUUUAUUAAGAGCGCCGCGUUUUGCUCGCAGCUCCGUGAGCACGUGUAUCCCUAUGCAGACACAGCACAAAAUGCGUGGAAAUUACGCGGCUGAAGCGUAGCCUAAUAAAUAUCAGAGCUCCAUUCUCA
Molecule: long non-coding RNA, 1359 nt
Filed under: Chrysolophus pictus (golden pheasant)
Lineage: Eukaryota; Metazoa; Chordata; Aves; Galliformes; Phasianidae
Description: lncRNA (ENSCPIG00010009996.1)
Source: RNAcentral